RNAcentral lists this ribosomal RNA (253 nucleotides) under uncultured bacterium. RNAcentral describes it as "partial 16S ribosomal RNA". It matches the Rfam family "Bacterial small subunit ribosomal RNA", at positions 524 to 776 of the family's 1533-position model. The record is from RNAcentral.
UACGUAGGGUGCAAGCGUUAAUCGGAAUUACUGGGCGUAAAGGGCUCGUAGGCGGCCAACUAAGUCACACGUGAAAUCCCCAGGCUUAACCUGGGAACUGCGUGUGAUACUGGAUGGCUUGAAUUCGGGAGAGGGAUGCAGAAUUCCAGGUGUAGCGGUGAAAUGCGUAGAUAUCUGGAGGAAUACCGGUGGCGAAGGCGGCAUCCUGGACCGAGAUUGACGCUGAGGAGCGAAAGCCAGGGGAGCAAACGGG